This 67-nucleotide transfer RNA is filed under the name Lepilemur edwardsi (Milne-Edwards's sportive lemur). RNAcentral describes it as "tRNA-Arg". It matches the Rfam family "tRNA". From Rfam's summary of the family: Transfer RNA (tRNA) molecules are approximately 80 nucleotides in length. Their secondary structure includes four short double-helical elements and three loops (D, anti-codon, and T loops). RNAcentral also lists the same sequence under 1 other name. Lineage: Eukaryota; Metazoa; Chordata; Mammalia; Primates; Lepilemuridae. The record is from RNAcentral.
UGAUAAUUAGUUUAAGACAAAACAAAUGAUUUCGACUCAUUAGAUUAUGAAUUCACAUAAUUAUCAU